RNAcentral lists this ribosomal RNA (247 nucleotides) under uncultured Thauera sp. RNAcentral describes it as "partial 16S ribosomal RNA". It matches the Rfam family "Bacterial small subunit ribosomal RNA", at positions 527 to 773 of the family's 1533-position model. The record is from RNAcentral. Lineage: Bacteria; Pseudomonadati; Pseudomonadota; Betaproteobacteria; Rhodocyclales; Zoogloeaceae.
GUAGGGUGCGAGCGUUAAUCGGAAUUACUGGGCGUAAAGCGUGCGCAGGCGGUUUUGUAAGACAGAUGUGAAAUCCCCGGGCUUAACCUGGGAACUGCGUUUGUGACUGCAAGGCUAGAGUACGGCAGAGGGGGGUGGAAUUCCUGGUGUAGCAGUGAAAUGCGUAGAUAUCAGGAGGAACACCGAUGGCGAAGGCAGCCCCCUGGGCCUGUACUGACGCUCAUGCACGAAAGCGUGGGGAGCAAAC